This 1247-nucleotide ribosomal RNA is filed under the name Staphylococcus aureus. RNAcentral's name for it is "partial 23S ribosomal RNA". It matches the Rfam family "Bacterial large subunit ribosomal RNA", at positions 231 to 1480 of the family's 2925-position model. The record is from RNAcentral. Lineage: Bacteria; Bacillati; Bacillota; Bacilli; Caryophanales; Staphylococcaceae.
UCGAUUCCCUUAGUAGCGGCGAGCGAAACGGGAAGAGCCCAAACCAACAAGCUUGCUUGUUGGGGUUGUAGGACACUCUAUACGGAGUUACAAAGGACGACAUUAGACGAAUCAUCUGGAAAGAUGAAUCAAAGAAGGUAAUAAUCCUGUAGUCGAAAAUGUUGUCUCUCUUGAGUGGAUCCUGAGUACGACGGAGCACGUGAAAUUCCGUCGGAAUCUGGGAGGACCAUCUCCUAAGGCUAAAUACUCUCUAGUGACCGAUAGUGAACCAGUACCGUGAGGGAAAGGUGAAAAGCACCCCGGAAGGGGAGUGAAAUAGAACCUGAAACCGUGUGCUUACAAGUAGUCAGAGCCCGUUAAUGGGUGAUGGCGUGCCUUUUGUAGAAUGAACCGGCGAGUUACGAUUUGAUGCAAGGUUAAGCAGUAAAUGUGGAGCCGUAGCGAAAGCGAGUCUGAAUAGGGCGUUUAGUAUUUGGUCGUAGACCCGAAACCAGGUGAUCUACCCUUGGUCAGGUUGAAGUUCAGGUAACACUGAAUGGAGGACCGAACCGACUUACGUUGAAAAGUGAGCGGAUGAACUGAGGGUAGCGGAGAAAUUCCAAUCGAACCUGGAGAUAGCUGGUUCUCUCCGAAAUAGCUUUAGGGCUAGCCUCAAGUGAUGAUUAUUGGAGGUAGAGCACUGUUUGGACGAGGGGCCCCUCUCGGGUUACCGAAUUCAGACAAACUCCGAAUGCCAAUUAAUUUAACUUGGGAGUCAGAACAUGGGUGAUAAGGUCCGUGUUCGAAAGGGAAACAGCCCAGACCACCAGCUAAGGUCCCAAAAUAUAUGUUAAGUGGAAAAGGAUGUGGCGUUGCCCAGACAACUAGGAUGUUGGCUUAGAAGCAGCCAUCAUUUAAAGAGUGCGUAAUAGCUCACUAGUCGAGUGACACUGCGCCGAAAAUGUACCGGGGCUAAACAUAUUACCGAAGCUGUGGAUUGUCCUUUGGACAAUGGUAGGAGAGCGUUCUAAGGGCGUUGAAGCAUGAUCGUAAGGACAUGUGGAGCGCUUAGAAGUGAGAAUGCCGGUGUGAGUAGCGAAAGACGGGUGAGAAUCCCGUCCACCGAUUGACUAAGGUUUCCAGAGGAAGGCUCGUCCGCUCUGGGUUAGUCGGGUCCUAAGCUGAGGCCGACAGGCGUAGGCGAUGGAUAACAGGUUGAUAUUCCUGUACCACCUAUAAUCGUUUUAAUCGAUGGGGGGACGCAGUAG